RNAcentral lists this transfer RNA (66 nucleotides) under Phylloscopus borealis (Arctic warbler). RNAcentral's name for it is "Seicercus borealis (Arctic warbler) tRNA-Ser". RNAcentral also lists the same sequence under 4 other names. Lineage: Eukaryota; Metazoa; Chordata; Aves; Passeriformes; Phylloscopidae. The record is from RNAcentral.
GAGGGGAGGUUUAACCAACAGGAACUGCUAACUCUUGUAUCUGAGUAUAAACCCUCAGCCCCCUUA